AGAAAAAACACAUAAAAAAUAAAUUUCUCAAGAGUAUAAUAAAUAUCUUCAUCGAGCAUUCAAAAAACAGUGCUAUGGUUAAUUAAACUAGAGUAAAAAGAAUGAAAUCAUUGCUAUCAGUUCCCAUCUUAGCAACCACAGUCCCAAAUCUCACACCGGACACAUUUUCACCGCCGGAAACUCCAAUCUGGUGGUUCUUCCCUCCGUCGCCGCCGGAGACUCCAAUCUGGUGGUGAUCUUCAUCGUGCCUGGCGGGAGGAUGGUAGUACAUACGGGAAGUUUGAGGACAAUGAGAAUUGAAUCUAGCCACCAUUCUCACUCCGGUAUCCAACAGCUCCACAUACUUACUCAUCUUCUUCUUCAAUCUCUUGAGAUGAUUCUGCUAAAACGAUUCGGAAGAAGAAGAAAAAGGGUUUAGAAAGCGUCCCAAAUAUCGGAUCCCAUAAAAUUUGGGGAUUAAAGAGAAAGUUGAGGAAAAUGGAAGGCG
This 487-nucleotide unclassified non-coding RNA is filed under the name Hevea brasiliensis (rubber tree). Lineage: Eukaryota; Viridiplantae; Streptophyta; Magnoliopsida; Malpighiales; Euphorbiaceae. The record is from RNAcentral.